GAUGAACGCUGGCGGCGUGCCUAAUACAUGCAAGUCGAGCGAACAGACGAGGAGCUUGCUCCUCUGACGUUAGCGGCGGACGGGUGUGUAACACGUGGAUAACCUACCUAUAAGACUGGGAUAACUUCGGGAAACCGGAGCUAAUACCGGAUAAUAUAUUGAACCGCAUGGUUCAAUAGUGAAAGACGGUUUUGCUGUCACUUAUAGAUGGAUCCGCGCCGCAUUAGCUAGUUGGUAAGGUAACGGCUUACCAAGGCAACGAUGCGUAGCCGACCUGAGAGGGUGAUCGGCCACACUGGAACUGAGACACGGUCCAGACUCCUACGGGAGGCAGCAGUAGGGAAUCUUCCGCAAUGGGCGAAAGCCUGACGGAGCAACGCCGCGUGAAUGAUGAAGGUCUUCGGAUCGUAAAACUCUGUUAUUAGGGAAGAACAAAUGUGUAAGUAACUAUGCACGUCUUGACGGUACCUAAUCAGAAAGCCACGGCUAACUACGUG
RNAcentral lists this ribosomal RNA (497 nucleotides) under uncultured bacterium. RNAcentral's name for it is "partial 16S ribosomal RNA". It matches the Rfam family "Bacterial small subunit ribosomal RNA", at positions 28 to 507 of the family's 1533-position model. The record is from RNAcentral.